RNAcentral lists this unclassified non-coding RNA (412 nucleotides) under uncultured fungus. Its description in RNAcentral is "partial contains 5.8S ribosomal RNA, internal transcribed spacer 2, and large subunit ribosomal RNA". The stretch from base 1 to 52 matches the Rfam family "5.8S ribosomal RNA", at positions 103 to 154 of the family's 154-position model. Lineage: Eukaryota; Fungi. The record is from RNAcentral.
AACGCAUCUUGCGCUCCGGGGUAUUCCCCGGAGCAUGCCUGUUUGAGUGUUGUGACCUUCUCAUGCCGUCUUUCUUUCUUUGCUUGCUUGCACGCACGGACGGACGGACGGCAUGGAGUAUGAGCGCUGCGCAAGUGCCGCCGCUGUUCUAGGCGGGGGCAUGCGCUUGCUCGAAAUGGAGUAGCCCGCGACCUCGUGCAAUGUCCGAACGGCAGAUGGGCCCCGACUUGAUAGUUAUCUUAGUCGGGCUUGCCCUCUGUGCGGGACAGCUUGAGAGUCUGGCUUCCAACACCCUGGUUGCUGCGUGCGUGCGUGCGUGGCUCACUGUGUUGCACAGCGGCUGCCCCACGACGACGACCUACUACUAUCACUAUUCUACCUCAAAUCAGGUAGGGUUACCCGCUGAACUUAA